This 1343-nucleotide ribosomal RNA is filed under the name uncultured bacterium. RNAcentral describes it as "16S ribosomal RNA". It matches the Rfam family "Bacterial small subunit ribosomal RNA", at positions 28 to 1378 of the family's 1533-position model. The record is from RNAcentral.
GACGAACGCUGUCGGCGUGCUUAACACAUGCAAGUCGAACGGAAAGGCCCUGCUUUUGUGGGGUGCUCGAGUGGCGAACGGGUGAGUAACACGUGAGUAACCUGCCCUUGACUUUGGGAUAACUUCAGGAAACUGGGGCUAAUACCGGAUAGGAGCUCCUGCUGCAUGGUGGGGGUUGGAAAGUUUCGGCGGUUGGGGAUGGACUCGCGGCUUAUCAGCUUGUUGGUGGGGUAGUGGCUUACCAAGGCUUUGACGGGUAGCCGGCCUGAGAGGGUGACCGGCCACAUUGGGACUGAGAUACGGCCCAGACUCCUACGGGAGGCAGCAGUGGGGAAUAUUGCACAAUGGGCGGAAGCCUGAUGCAGCAACGCCGCGUGCGGGAUGACGGCCUUCGGGUUGUAAACCGCUUUCGCCUGUGACGAAGCGUGAGUGACGGUAAUGGGUAAAGAAGCACCGGCUAACUACGUGCCAGCAGCCGCGGUGAUACGUAGGGUGCGAGCGUUGUCCGGAUUUAUUGGGCGUAAAGGGCUCGUAGGUGGUUGAUCGCGUCGGAAGUGUAAUCUUGGGGCUUAACCCUGAGCGUGCUUUCGAUACGGGUUGACUUGAGGAAGGUAGGGGAGAAUGGAAUUCCUGGUGGAGCGGUGGAAUGCGCAGAUAUCAGGAGGAACACCAGUGGCGAAGGCGGUUCUCUGGGCCUUUCCUGACGCUGAGGAGCGAAAGCGUGGGGAGCGAACAGGCUUAGAUACCCUGGUAGUCCACGCUGUAAACGGUGGGUACUAGGUGUGGGGUCCACUCCACGGGUUCCGUGCCGUAGCUAACGCUUUAAGUACCCCGCCUGGGGAGUACGGCCGCAAGGCUAAAACUCAAAGGAAUUGACGGGGCCCCGCACAAGCGGCGGAGCAUGCGGAUUAAUUCGAUGCAACGCGUAGAACCUUACCCGGGUUUGACAUGGAUCGGGAGUGCUCAGAGAUGGGUGUGCCUCUUUUGGGGUCGGUUCACAGGUGGUGCAUGGCUGUCGUCAGCUCGUGUCGUGAGAUGUUGGGUUAAGUCCCGCAACGAGCGCAACCCUUGUUCACUGUUGCCAGCACGUUAUGGUGGGGACUCAGUGGAGACCGCCGGGGUCAACUCGGAGGAAGGUGGGGAUGACGUCAAGUCAUCAUGCCCCUUAUGUCCAGGGCUUCACGCAUGCUACAAUGGCUGGUACAGAGAGUGGCGAGCCUGUGAGGGUGAGCGAAUCUCGGAAAGCCGGUCUCAGUUCGGAUUGGGGUCUGCAACUCGACCUCAUGAAGUCGGAGUCGCUAGUAAUCGCAGAUCAGCAACGCUGCGGUGAAUACGUUCCCGGG